This 460-nucleotide ribosomal RNA is filed under the name uncultured bacterium. RNAcentral describes it as "partial 16S ribosomal RNA". It matches the Rfam family "Bacterial small subunit ribosomal RNA", at positions 338 to 795 of the family's 1533-position model. The record is from RNAcentral.
CCUACGGGAGACAGCAGUGAGGAAUAUUGGUCAAUGGGCGCGAGCCUGAACCAGCCAAGUAGCGUGAAGGAUGACUGCCCUACGGGUUGUAAACUUCUUUUAUAAAGGAAUAAAGUGAGGCACGUGUGCCUUUCUGUAUGUACUUUAUGAAUAAGGUUCGGCUAACUCCGUGCCAGCAGCCGCGGUAAUACGGAGGGUCCGAGCGUUAUCCGGAUUUAUUGGGUUUAAGGGGAGCGUAGAUGGGUUGUUAAGUCAGUUGUGAAAGUUUGCGGCUCAACCGUGAAAUUGCAAUUGAUACUGGCAGUCUUGAGUGCGGAUGAGGUAGGCGGAAUUCGUGGUGUAGCGGUGAAAUGCUUAGAUAUCACGAAGAACUCCGAUUGCGAAGGCAGCUUACUAAGCUGCCACUGACGUUGAUGCUCGAAAGUGUGGGUAUCAAACAGGAUUAGAUACCCCAGUAGUC